Molecule: non-coding RNA, 73 nt
Organism: Phrynosoma platyrhinos (Desert horned lizard)
Lineage: Eukaryota; Metazoa; Chordata; Lepidosauria; Squamata; Phrynosomatidae
Source: the annotation of a GenBank genome assembly
GCCAGUGUGGUAUAAUGGUUUAAAUGUUGGACUAAUGAUUCUAGAGUCCAAGGUUUGAAUCUGUGCUCAGCCA